GAUGAACGCUGGCGGCGUGCUUAACACAUGCAAGUCGAACGGAAAGGCUCCUGCUUGCAGGGGUACUCGAGUGGCGAACGGGUGAGUAACACGUGGGUGAUCUGCCAUGCACUUCGGGAUAAGCAUGGGAAACUGGGUCUAAUACCGGAUAGGACCACAUUUUGGAUGGUGUGGUGGAAAGUUUUUCGGUGUGGGAUGAGCUCGCGGCCUAUCAGCUUGUUGGUGGGGUAAUGGCCUACCAAGGCGUCGACGGGUAGCCGGCCUGAGAGGGUGUACGGCCACAUUGGGACUGAGAUACGGCCCAGACUCCUACGGGAGGCAGCAGUGGGGAAUAUUGCACAAUGGGCGCAAGCCUGAUGCAGCGACGCCGCGUGGGGGAUGACGGCCUUCGGGUUGUAAACUCCUUUCGCUAGGGACGAAGCGCAAGUGACGGUACCUGGAGAAGAAGCACCGGCUAACUACGUG
This 465-nucleotide ribosomal RNA is filed under the name uncultured bacterium. RNAcentral describes it as "partial 16S ribosomal RNA". It matches the Rfam family "Bacterial small subunit ribosomal RNA", at positions 28 to 507 of the family's 1533-position model. The record is from RNAcentral.